Molecule: ribosomal RNA, 912 nt
Filed under: uncultured bacterium
Lineage: Bacteria
Description: bacterial SSU rRNA
Rfam family: Bacterial small subunit ribosomal RNA
Source: RNAcentral
AGAGUUUGAUCAUGGCUCAGAUUGAACGCUGGCGGCAUGCCUUACACAUGCAAGUCGAACGGCAGCACAGAGCUUGCUCUGGUGGCGAGUGGCGAACGGGUGAGUAAUAUAUCGGAACGUACCCAAGAGUGGGGGAUAACGUAGCGAAAGUUACGCUAAUACCGCAUACGAUCUAAGGACGAAAGCAGGGGACCUUCGGGCCUUGUGCUCCUGGAGCGGCCGAUAUCUGAUUAGCUAGUUGGUGGGGUAAAGGCCCACCAGGGCAACGAUCAGCGGCUGGUCUGAGAGGACGACCAGCCACACUGGAACUGAGACACGGUCCAGACUCCUACGGGAGGCAGCAGUGGGGAGUUUUGGACAAUGGGGGCAACCCUGAUCCAGCAAUGCCGCGUGAGUGAAGAAGGCCUUCGGGUUGUAAAGCUCUUUUGUCAGGGAAGAAAAGGGAUUGGCUAAUAUCCAGUCCUCAUGACGGUACCUGAAGAAUAAGCACCGGCUAACUACGUGCCAGCAGCCGCGGUAAUACGUAGGGUGCAAGCGUUAAUCGGAAUUACUGGGCGUAAAGCGUGCGCAGGCGGUUUUGUAAGACUGUCGUGAAAUCCCCGGGCUCAACCUGGGAAUGGCGAUGGUGACUGCAAGGCUAGAGUUUGGCAGAGGGGGGUAGAAUUCCACGUGUAGCAGUGAAAUGCGUAGAUAUGUGGAGGAACACCGAUGGCGAAGGCAGCCCCCUGGGUCAAAACUGACGCUCAUGCACGAAAGCGUGGGGAGCAAACAGGAUUAGAUACCCUGGUAGUCCACGCCCUAAACGAUGUCUACUAGUUGUCGGGUCUUAAUUGACUUGGUAACGCAGCUAACGCGUGAAGUAGACCGCCUGGGGAGUACGGUCGCAAGAUUAAAACUUAAAGGAAUUGACGG